GCAGUCGCACGAAGGUUUCGGCCUUAGUGGCGGACGGGUGAGUAACGCGUAGGAAUCUAUCCGUGGGUGGGGGAUAACUCUGGGAAACUGGAGCUAAUACCGCAUGAUACCUGAGGGUCAAAGGCGCAAGUCGCCUGCGGAGGAGCCUGCGUUUGAUUAGCUUGUUGGUGGGGUAAUGGCCUACCAAGGCGAUGAUCAAUAGCUGGUCGGAGAGGGUGAUCAGCCACACUGGGACUGAGACACGGCCCAGACUCCUACGGGAGGCAGCAGUGGGGAAUAUUGGACAAUGGGGGCAACCCUGAUCCAGCAAUGCCGCGUGUGUGAAGAAGGUUUUCGGAUUGUAAAGCACUUUCGGCGGGGACGAUGAUGACGGUACCCGCAGAAGAAGCCCCGGCUAACUUCGUGCCAGCAGCCGCGGUAAUACGA
This 426-nucleotide ribosomal RNA is filed under the name Acetobacter indonesiensis. Its description in RNAcentral is "bacterial SSU rRNA". It matches the Rfam family "Bacterial small subunit ribosomal RNA", at positions 57 to 528 of the family's 1533-position model. The record is from RNAcentral. Lineage: Bacteria; Pseudomonadati; Pseudomonadota; Alphaproteobacteria; Acetobacterales; Acetobacteraceae.